CUGGAUCCGGAUGGAGAAUGAAGGGGAAGCAGGGGCAUCUUCCCCAAAGGCACGAAGGAGGAAGGCUGCAGAGCAUGUAAUUCUGGGAGACGAUAGGCUCUUCCUUCCCGGGUCCUGGGAAUCAGAGAGCACCUGGCCAUGAUGCUGGCAGGCUGGGAUGGACAGUGGGGAAGAUGGGAUAGGGAGGUGCCCCAGAUAUGGCUGGAAUCCCAGUUCAUGUUUGAAUACUCUGCCCAGAGGGCAGGUGGGUGAGAGAGUGCUGGGAUGUUGACAGCCCUCUGUGACCUUGGUUGAAGAAGCCAAUGGUUUCUUCUUGAGGUGAAAGGUGACCUUCAGUUGGGAAGGGUGUGGGGAGAAGAAGGGUACCACUCGCUUAUAGUUUACAUUAACCUCCCUUUCAGGAUGCCUUCCCUGCCCCCUUCCUCUCCUCUUUCCCGUGAGAGGUUUAUGUGUGGGCGUAGUACCCCACGAUGCCUGGGAGGUGUAUCACCGGUGGAGGUCCAUCCUUCACUGCCUUAUAAAGAUCUGCUUACGGUUUCUUUUCCCAUCUAGACUGUCAGCUUUGAAGGCAUGGACUCCCUCACUGUAACUGGGUUCCUAGUGCCCCACACAGUGCCUAGCAGAGAGUAGCUGCUCGGUGAUGAAGCCCUGCUCCAGCUCCCAGCUGGAGCGCGCUCUCCCGCCGCCAGCGUUCUGGGAAACAAAACAACCCACGUGAUGAUUCCUCCGCAGUCGAGGCCUCUGAGGGGCUACAAGGGCAUCUCCUAUCUGACCUCCUCUGGGAGUCUUCUGGGGGGAAGUUGACAGCACUCUCUCCCACCUCUGAUAUGUACUGUCCACAAGAUUCACCCGGGAUUUCCCUGCUGGUCCAGCGGUUAAGGCUUCGCAAUUUCAGUGCCUCCUCUUCAGGGGGAACGAGUUCGAUCCCUGGUUGGGGAACUAACAUCCCCCAUGCGGUGCGCGGGGGUGGCCAAAACAAACAAACAAACAAACGAAAGCAAACAAAAAAAGAUCUCACUACACCUUCAUGGUGAGGGUUAUUAUUGUUAUUUACUAAUCUGGGAUGGAUGUGUCUUUCUUGGUUGCGUGAGACCCGAGGCUCUUUGGGACCGCAGUGCCCAGCAUGAAGUCUCCUCAGGACAGGCUGGCUGUUGACUAGCUGACGCCUCCAAGUCCUAGUGUCUACGCUUUUGAUGUGGUGGCUCCUCUGGGGCUCUGAUGGCUGAGCGUCGGGAACUGCUGAGUCGGGAUGUCUUGGCGUAAUCGGGUGAAUUGGACACACACGCGAAGGAGCCCGGUCCCAGUGAGGUGAGGCCUGAAUGACCCUGCAGGUCGAGAGAAUGCUUGAGCGGGGAUGUUGCGAAAAUGACCAAGGUCGGUGGGCUCUAUUCAGAAAAACUCUUUGGGCAAGGAAUGUAUGAAAGAGGUUGGAAGGAGAGAAGGGCAGGGCUGGCAGAGGUUGCAGGAGGAUAUCCAGGUGGGAUAGACUUGGCCGUGGGUGAGGAGGCUAAAGCGGCUCUGCCUGCAGGUGAGGGCCCAGGAGGGAGGGGCUUGGGCAAUUGUAAACAUUCCCUGUACACUGCGGGGACUGUGACCAUGGCUCCACAACCCGCUCCCAUCCCUCCCCAAACUCUAGGCCAGGUGGUAUCCUACAUCUCACCGCCAUUUCUAGGCCCAGGCUGACCUGUGCUCCGGCAACAUCACCUGACACCGAGCUCGGGUUGGAUCAGCUUUGCUCUGUACCCUUGCAGUCCUCCCUGGGGCUGCAGCUGCCUUUGAAGUCGAUGGAGAGAAGAUUGGUGAGCUGUCGCCUGAGCCUAGAUCUCCCAGACAUCAGUGAGGGGAGGGGAUCUCCACUUUGAGCCCUUUUUCGGGGGGCUGAGGUGUUGACGCUUUAGUUGUCAGAACUUACGUUUCUCAUCUGUGAACGCAGCGCGAAGCUGACCGAAUUGCCAGCAUCUCUGGGCUGCAGGGUGGCAGCACUGCUCAGCUCCAGGGACCAACCACUCACCAUACUCCUGGAGCACAACUCUAGGUGGCGCCGUUCUCAUAGAAUUUGACGUGCGUGGUCGCCGCAUUCCCCCCCCCCCAAGGUCGCAUGGUGAUGGUGGGCCACCAUCAUGCCCUUUUUGAGUCAGGGUUCUGUUUACCAGUCUAAGCUGGUUAACCUGAGGACCAGGAAUAUUCAUGAGGCUUUGCCCGGGGACAGAGAGAUGAACAAAAUAGUCUCCAAAGUCAUGUCCUCAUGAGACGUGGGCACCAGGAGACCAGAGUGUCUCCCAGACAACAGGUCCACAAAGCAGGGUGCAGUCUGAGGCCAAGUAGCAGGGAAAAGAAAUGACAAACUCCAUCCAUCGGGGAAGGAAAACUGUCUUUCACCCCCAGAUUGAAAAGAAUAACCCACGUGUAAAGACCCAGUGACACUUAGUAGGUCUGCAGUUACCAUGAGGUGAACCAGAAUCAGUGCCGACAUUCCAGUCUCUAGGUUCGGGGUUCUUGGAAGCAGAAAGGCCUAGCCGCCCUGGUGACACUUGUGCAUGGGAAUUUGCUGAAAUCUGAAAUGAGAUCCUGACCCAGAUGGGGGUCAGGAAUUUGUUUCCUUCCCUUUUUCUCCUUCUUAGUUCACUGUUUAGGAUGAAAAAUGACAACCAGAUGAGCAAAAGAAUGAUUAUCAGGAAUGAUAAAUAAUACACUCCAGAUGUGGCCGGAGAGAAAUGCAACCGAAAGCACCACCGCCUCCAAGUAGUCACGUUGGGGCGACCCCCUUCUCCCAACAAGGCCACAAUGACAAAAGUUCUCUAACUCUUCUUAGGGAAUUGUCUUCAGGAAGUGGAGGGGAUGAGGUCAAAACGCACCCACACAGCAACCUGUUUCUAACAACGAUCGGUUAACCUACAUGAAGAACUCUCCAGUUCCAGAAGUUUCCUGGAUGUUUGCUUUCCUGAGGAAAGACCUGGAAGAAGGGGCUGCUGGCCUGCUUUUGAAUCUCGAUCCUUUCCCCUCCUGCCUCACCCAUGGACGCUGCCCUCGUCGUCAAGUAACAAGCUGGAUUCGAAAGGUGGGGAGGAAGGAAGGAGGAGGAUGUGGUGCAGUGGGGAUGAGCCCGGGUGUAGAAGGGUCCCCUGCGGGUCAUAAAUGUUCUCUUGGAGGGUGGGGAGUCCCCGCCUGAGAUUCCUGAUCAUCUCCAUCCUCCAACCCAGAAGGAAGAGAAGGCUAGACUCAAGGAAGAACUUACUCAUUUUCAGUAGCAGAAACAAGCAGCUCCUUCUUCAGAGCUCUGUGAUAGGGCAAGGCCAAUUUCUAUUGACAGCAACGUUGCUCAGAGGCCUUGAAAUGGAAUUGCGGGGAGUGAGGGGACUGUUUCCUCAGGUGCCCUGUUGGUGGGGACAUUGUCACUUGUUGUUCUGGCACAAGGACUCCUGAAAGUGUGCAGUCACACGCGCUGACCUAGCCACUCAGAGCCUAACUGACAAGCGUCUGCAGACACAGGACUGUGCUCCGAGGAGCCUCUGGGGACAGGGCUCUGGGGUCCUCGUGGGUGGAACAAGCCCCCCAGAAGAACAAGCCAGGACACCAUUCAAAGAGGGGAGCUCCGGUGACCCUCCCCGCCGUCCACCACCUCCUCUCACAUGAGCGAACCCCAGCGUUAGGGCACGUUGGAUCCACCCAGCACCACCCCUCACUGGCCGGGAGAACAUAGACUUCCCUUGGGGCCCAGGACUGGAAGAAAUAGGAGUGCAUAUUUAUACUGGGUUGUGAGGGACACAAAGAUAAAAGGACCCAGAGAUCAAAGAGCCCCCAGAAGCUCGGUGUGCAGACCUCUGGGUCUAGGAUUUGUUCUGUAAACAGAUUUCCUUCUCCUUUGGGGAAAACUCACAUGGAGGGAUCCCUCCCUUAGGGCUUGUGGUGGUUCCACGCUGGGGGCAAGGGGACAGCCUGAGGUGGGCCUUGUUGGGACACAGGCCUGCCUCCUGCUGGGGCACAUCUCUGACUGCCCAAGCCGUGCAGAGCUCCACAGAAGAAAGGGACAGGAAAGUUGUGUACAUGCCGUGGUGGGUGAAAGGCAGAACGAGCCCAGAUCAUCCAUUGACAUUUGUGCUUCCAUGCGGCUCCCAGGUCGAGAGGGUUCAGACCUUCCACGACUCAGGGCGCUGGGUUAAGGAGGGUGCGUGGAGAUCCUGAGCUGGGCAGUUCCGGGCCACAGAGAACAAAGGAGCUGGGGGUACAGGCAAACCUCCAUCAGAGAGGUCGUGUGUGUGUGUGUGUGUGUGUGUGUGUGUGUGUGUGUGUGUGAGCCUGUGGGUCAGCAUCCAUCCGUAGGGAGCAGGGAGGGAAAGAGAUGAUGAAGAGAAUAGGAGAAAGAGAAGAAAUAAAAAUGAAGGCACUGAAACAGAGAGAGCAAGCUAACAGACCCACACAAAGAGAGGCAGAGAAACACUGCAGGAGCCUGGGGACCAGGCAGCAGGAGGCGGGGAGGGGAGAGCCUCUGGAGGGUCAGCAGCGAAAACAAUCGGCCAGGCUUCUGCCCGGGAAGGUGGGCAGGAAGGCAGGGAGGGGAAUGGGUGGCAGAGAAAGCCCCCCCCCUUGCCGGGUAGGGCAGAGGAGCUGGAACCUGAGUCUCCCAGCUCCCAAGCAAUCAGCCUUCUCCCCCUGCCCUCGCCCUGAGCCCAGGGCUGAGAUUGACGGGACUGCAGCUUCUCUGGGUCUGGGUGGAUUUGAAUAAUUAAGUCAUCUGGAUUCUUAUGAUUUACCAUUUUCAGUGAUAAAUAGACAGCGCCCAAGCCAGCCAGUUGGCAAAACUCUGGCUGCUAGUUAUAAUUUGUCAAGCUGCCAGUAGAUUCAUGUUUCAUGCUAAUGGAGAGAGACUCAUUGACUGGGGGAGGCGGUGACCCGGUCAGCUCUUUCCUCAGGCACCCCAGAGGUCGAGAGGUCGGGGGGAGAAAGGCCGGGCCGGUAUGGAUUUGCUGUAAGGGUCAGUGUAAUUUUAUAAUAAUUCAGCGGGUACCCACGCUCUCGAAUACACAGAGAGUCAUGUAUGCGGAGAUAUGUUCGGAUCUGUGCACCUGCCCCGCCCAUGCACCUGCUCCAGUGCAGGCGUCUGGGCCCAGUGCACACAAGCCUGGUGCUGAAACACUUGUCCAGCCCCCUCAGCUCACUUGCACAUGUACACCCUGCUGUCACCUUCAGGCAUGCGAUUAUACCAAGGCAAACCUGCAGACCUGCUCAGACACCCAGAGAAACGUAUCUCCCCUCACCGACAAUGCACACCUCAAAGCUGGGAAGAUACCUCUGGGGGACCCCUCUGACCACCACCCCAACCCCUUUAUUUCAGGGCUCUCGUGUCUGCCGUUCCCACUGCACAACUCUUGCUCCUUUUCUAACAGUCUUCCAGUGAGGGAGACAAAUGAGCCCUGGAGCCGUCCUAUUUUCCAACCGGCUGGGUCUGGGUAGCCGGAGUUGGGAAAGCACGGGCUCGGAGACGGGGCAUAUGGAAGGCGGCAAUCAAAAUCCAAACUUUCUUUUCCAUCAGUUCAUUUAUUUAUGUAUUUGUCCACAUGCACUAAAGCCUCACAGUGGCAAGAAUCUCAUUACUGACCGUCAUGAAAAACAGAGGUAGGGACAAUGCUUCGCACAUAGUAGGUACUAAAUAAAUAUCAGUGGCACGAACGGCUGCAGCUACUGGUUGAUUUCUCGACAGAACAAACUACUCAUUUCCCUUCUCUUCCUCCGCCUCAACAAACCUUUAUCAUCAGAGAAGGCCAGAGAAGAGGUGUGGGUCUGGGUGAAGCCCUCCUAUUCCUUGACUUGAGAAAUCUGGGCCUUUGGCGUGAUAAAAAAUGCUAAUUUUAUACCAACAGAAGCCAUCCGGUCUCAAUUUUGACCCCCAAAUGCCCUUAAAAUGGAUCAAUGAGCAAGGGAGGACUGAGGAAGGAGCAUCUGUCCUCCCUCCUGCCCAGAAGAGAAUUUGAAUUUGCUUUGAGUGCGUAGCUUGUGAGCAGGGCCAGAAGCCGCAGCUCAUUACCAUCGGCAACUUUAAGGUUUGGCGGGGGCGUGCGGAAGGAUCAGGGGCCCGAGGAGAAACAUUGCCUUUCCGUGUCCCCCAAAGCCCCUAAAUGAGAGAGAAAAACACAAUAGCGAGCCGAACAGAGCAGAGACCGAGGCAGCAAGGAGAACCCCCAAAGACAGAAGCUGCUUCCAGCGUCAGGCUCAGGCUCGAGGAUGCAGUCGCAGCUCUUGGCUCUGUCCGUGGAGAUUCAAGAUUCCGGAUCCUGCGAAGUGAAUUGGGUUCCCUCCUUCCCAGCGGGGCCAGGCUGGGGUCAAGGAGGCUGCUCUGGGCAGACAGUCUGGAACCCCUCCACCAAGGCCUGGAAUAAGAGGCCUCCCUUCUUUGGCGAGCAGAGGUGGAUGGCGGCGGCAGGCCCGGCUAAUCAGAGGCAUUCCUUGGAGAGACAGCCAAGAGCCAGAACCGACCAGUUUCUCCAUUCAAGGGAAAGAGGACCCCUAAAUGCAUCGGGAAUAGGGAAACAGGCUUUGCUUAUUUAAUAGUUUGAGGCUCUGACCUGGUUUCACUGACGUCAUCCCACCUGCACCAAGGUGAGCUCCUGCAGGCCCUCACUCACCCCGGGAGAGCAACAGCCUUGGGGGCACCAGCAACUCCACCCCUAUGGGCAGGGGCAGGCCGACUGUGGCCUGCAGAUGGGUGAGGUGGGGAAGGAUUUUCUGGGGUAAGCCACGGGAACGUGAGGGCACUAAUCAUGAUUGAUACAGAAGAUGUGUCGCUUCAUCCCGCACUUGAUUAGCAAAGCUUCCUCCCCAUUUUGCCUCUCAUCUUCCGUUCCUAAUAUUUGCAUCCAGGUAAUGAACUCCUGAGGUCAGGGCACAUGUUACCUUGUCUGAAGGUCUCAGAGCAAAGCCUCUGAGUACGAAGACAGUACAAGAGCCCCAGCCUGGACUAGAUGAAGAGGGAGAGAGAAAGAAAAGGAAAAACAGGAAGAAGGAAGG
Delphinapterus leucas (beluga whale) is the source of this 7002-nucleotide non-coding RNA. The record is from RefSeq and is a predicted model, not a curated record. NCBI's taxonomy places the organism in Eukaryota, Metazoa, Chordata, Mammalia, Artiodactyla, Monodontidae.